This 95-nucleotide transfer RNA is filed under the name Coniochaeta sp. 2T2.1. It matches the Rfam family "tRNA". Rfam says of the family: Transfer RNA (tRNA) molecules are approximately 80 nucleotides in length. Their secondary structure includes four short double-helical elements and three loops (D, anti-codon, and T loops). Lineage: Eukaryota; Fungi; Ascomycota; Sordariomycetes; Coniochaetales; Coniochaetaceae. The record is from Rfam by way of RNAcentral.
UCUUCCGUAGUAUAGUGGUUAGUAUAUGAGCUUGUCAAACGCCAUCCGGCCGCAGCAAUCCGCUCGGGACCCGGGUUCAAUUCCCGGCGGGAGAG